This 500-nucleotide ribosomal RNA is filed under the name uncultured bacterium. Its description in RNAcentral is "bacterial SSU rRNA". It matches the Rfam family "Bacterial small subunit ribosomal RNA", at positions 28 to 517 of the family's 1533-position model. The record is from RNAcentral.
GACGAACGCUGGCGGCGCGCUUAACACAUGCAAGUCGUGCGGUACCGAUGGCAAGUCUUCUUGACGAGCCUUCGGUAUAGCGGCGGACGGGUGAGUAACACGUGAGUAGCUGUCCUAGGGAGGGGGAUAACGCCUGGAAACGGGUGCUAAAAACCCCAUAAGCCUCGAAAGAGGUAAAAGUGCAUCACUGCAGUCCUAGGGUGUGCUCGCGGCCUAUCAGCUAGUUGGUGAGGUAAAGGCUUACCAAGCCUGCGAUCUGUAGCUGGUCUGAGAGGACGACCAGCCACACUGGGACUGAGACACGGCCCAGACUCCUACGGGAGGCAGCAGUGGGGAAUUUUGGACAAUGGACGCAAGUCUGAUCCAGCAAUACCGCGUGCAGGACGAAGGCCUUCGGGUUGUAAACUGCUUUUGUACGGAGCGAAAGACCUUCUUCUAAUACAGGAGGGUCAUGACGGUACCGUAAGAAUAAGCACCGGCUAACUACGUGCCAGCAGCCG